UGCAAAUCCAAAAUGAAAACCGAAGCUGAUCCAGCUGAAGCCAUCCCUGUCUCCAUCCUGCUAAGGAACCCCAUGAUGUGCACUCUGCAGCACUCAGAAAAUGGGGAGAUCCACAAUCAAGGCUUCACUUUGGGACCUUCAGGAUGCUCGAGUGCAGUCUUCUCAAUCCAUCAGCAAGUUGCCAUGCCCUGAGAAGACACUGCAGUGCCUUCAGUCCUGCACAGCAUCUUCAGGGCCAGAAGCUCCAGCCUUGCUCAGGUCUCUCAAAAAUAGAUGUAUAAACCAGAGCCUAUCUAGAAUGGAUUUCUAGUGCAUUUUGGGCUCCUGUUAUCUCCCCCAAACCCCCUGAAAUGAUGGGCUCCUGGGACCUAAAUGCCUUCAGAGGUGGCAGCUGGGAUAGCCAUGGGCAACAGGGUGCUUUAGAGAGGAAUCUGUUCUCUGUAUUGUUGCAAAUUCUUCUAAGCUGGGCAGAUCCAGGGCAGCACAGUGUCUGGCAG
This 497-nucleotide long non-coding RNA is filed under the name Numida meleagris (helmeted guineafowl). RNAcentral's name for it is "lncRNA (ENSNMEG00000014714.1)". Lineage: Eukaryota; Metazoa; Chordata; Aves; Galliformes; Numididae. The record is from RNAcentral.